UAGCUGCUGAUGUUUUCCACGCCCCAUCACUUUCCUUCCUAGGAUCUGGCUGUUUUCCAAAGCCCUGCUGGACCAGAGCACAGUGCAGCUCUUCCUCAAGGCCUCCGAGGCUCGGAGAGGAGGCCGGGUCCUGACCCUGCGGACCCAAGCCCAGCACACAGUGGCCGCCUGGACAGCCCUGCCCCGUCUUCUGACCCUUGUGGGGGUGCUGAAGCAGAAGGAGGUGCUCAGAGAGGGUACUAUCAAGGUCACUGCCGACUCAGCCGUGCUGGGAUUCCUCUUGCGGGACAAGCACGAGAGGGCAGGGAACAGCACCAGCAUGCGCAGUGUGACCUGCAUCCUUGCCCAGAACAGCAGCCAGGCCUUGCCAGGAGAGCUCCGGCUGAGCGGGCGGCUGCAGGCCCAGACGGGGAGCCUCGGGGGCCAGGCCAGCCUCCGUGCUGACACGGCCAGCCUGGCUCUGGUCGGGGUCUGCACCUGGGGCCCUGGGCAUGGCCAGCUCUCUGGCAGCCUGAGUCACAACAUCAGCGCUUUGAGUGAGGCAGGGCUCUCCUCCGAGGCAGGGAUACUCCUGUCACACACCCACGUCACUUCCAACUUCUCAGUGCGCAUGAUGCUGCGAAGUUCCGGGGGUCAGCUGGAUGGGGCCCUUGGCCUGGAGGGCGUGGCCACCAGUGCACCCGGCAGCCAGCUCCGCGCCAGCCUCCACCACACGGUGCCCGGCCUCGGGCGCUGGGGCCUCCCCUUCUCCGUGGAUGGCCGUGGACACUUGCAGAAUCCAGCUGUGCUGGCACUGAACAGCUCCUUCCUGGUGCACACCUUUGGGGCCAGCCUGGUGGCUCAGGUAUCGUCUGGGGACACCUUCGCCCGAGCCCACAUCCACUCAGCCUGCGGCCACCGUGCUCAUCUGGACACUGGCCUCCAGCACGCGUGGCCUCCACUUCAGGCACUGGGAGUCCCCCCCAACAACCACAUCCGAGUGUCCGUGGGGGGAGAUGAACCCGCCCGGGCCCAGCUGGAGGUGGCCCUGGGCCUGUGCACCCUGACCGCCCGUGGGGACUUCAGAUCAGAGGCCAGCGUCACACACAACUGGACCCUGGCCCUGGUGAAUCACUGCCCUCUGCUGGAGGCGACAGGAAUCCCGCGGGCCCUGCGCUCCAAGGGCAGCCUAAGCUGGGGCCCCUGCGAGUUCGACCUGACCACGGACUUCCAUAGUGACCGUGGAGAUGCCCACCUGCAGUUGGCCCGUUCCUGCGGGCCCCAGACCUUGGUCCUGGGGCACCUGGCCCACUCCCUGCCCCUCCUGGGCCGACUGGGCCUGCCACCCCGGAGUGCCAUCAGCCUGACCGUCCAGCCUGGCCCUGCCCCCCACAGCUCCCUGUCCCUCCAGAUGGGGCCGUGCCGGCUGCAGGGUGCCCUGGAGCAGCACACUGAGAACCAGAGCACGUGGAUGCUGGCCACCGAGCCGGGCUGCCCGCUGCUGGAGGUGUGUAGAGCGGGCCCACGAGGUGCCUGGAGAGGAGCUUCCCAUCAGCGUGAGGCCUGAGCCUGGCUGACACCCCCUCCAGGGACUUCCCGAGACCAGCUACUAUUUCCCCAAAGCCCUGUUGGACCCUUGACCCCUCUUAUCUCUCAUCCGUGUUCCCAUUUGACAGAUGAGGAGAUCGAGGCUGGGUGAGAUUAGAGGCACGCAGUGCCAUGGAACUUGACCACAGGCUCAGAAUUUAUGAGUCUGUCUUUUUAGUAAAAUUUUAAGAGCAGGAAGGGAAUGAGAGGAACUCUUCUUAUGACAGUUGGAAACAGUUGCAUCUUGGUUUCAUAACCUGUUAAAAACCACAGGCUGGGUUCUAUAUGAGCCGAGAGACAGUCUGAGGAUUGUCCUGUGAUGUUUGGGGGAAGGGGACCCCGUGACUCAGGAAAGGGGGAAGCUGGAGUCUAGGUCAGCAGACAGGGCUGGUGCCCUCGUCUGAGUGGCACAGGCCCCUGCCCUGUGUCUCCUGAUGGAGCUUCCUGAGCGUAGAGACAGGGUCUGGUCCACUCGGCAUCCCUGAGCGUAGGGCUGGGUGCUGGCAGAUGUUCUGUCUCUGUUAAUCAGGGCGACACAGGAUUGGUCCACAAGAGAGCAGAGCAUCAUGGGAUGAAGCAGGCCUACCCACUAGGACUUUCUACGAUGAUGGAGAUGUUCUUUGCUAUCCAGGGCAGUAGCCACUAGCCACAGGGAGCUACUGAAGGCUUAAGACGAUUUUACUCAUGCUCCAGAGAAACUGAAUUCUUACUUGGGCUUCAUUUUAAUUUAGAUGGAACCAGCCCCAUGUGGUUAGUGACUGUCCUAGUGGACAGCAGAGAGGUGAAGCACAGACUGAAAACAGAUCAGGUUCAAACCUUAGCUCCUCUACUUAUUAGCUAUGUGAUUCUGGGCAAUGACUUCGCCUUGUUGAGCCUCGGUGUUCCCAUCUGUAAAAUGGGGACUAGUAACUACCAAUCUCAGAGUCGUUGGAAUAGCGUGAAAAGAGAACAUUCUGAUGAAGCACUCGGCAUGAGACUGU
This is a long non-coding RNA of Bos indicus x Bos taurus (hybrid cattle), 2546 nucleotides long. The record is from Ensembl. Lineage: Eukaryota; Metazoa; Chordata; Mammalia; Artiodactyla; Bovidae.